CACCAGUUCCUCCUCCUCCUCUGAACACAGAAUCUCCAGGCCUCAUGCCCCCAGCACACAGACAGUGAGAGCCAGGUAACCUAUCUUUCUUCCCCCAUCAGGCUCUGUGACAAAGAAAUAGAACUGCUUUCCGAGGAUAAGCGCCAUCUAGAUCAGAACUAAAUCCUCCUGUGAUCGGUUUGGGGCUGAUUUCCGUGCAAAUCGGAAAUGCCUGCCAACACUUACAGCAUCCCCAGGAGCCAGGAUGUUCACACGUCGGCGCGUCUCAUCCCCAUAGCAACCUGCUCACAUGGGGACGAUUACUCUCUCCACUCCCCAGAGAGGGGCGGCUGGGAUCCGAGCAGGACUCUCCUGAGAAGGAACUUGCCAAGAGAACUGAGAAGGAACUAUCCAAGAGAACUGGGCAGAGGCUUGGGCUUGUUGGGACACAGCCUCGGAAUCACACAGCAUUCCUGCUGCCGCAGUUGUAGCGUAAGCGUUCUAGUUUCGCCAUCAGGGAUCAAACUCCGGCCCCCUGCCUUGGGAGAGCGAAGCCUUAACCACCGGACCACUAGGAAGUCCGAGCACUGGUGGUUUCUUCAGGGUUCCUGAGUCUGAGAACACCUGUGUUAGACGAAGGCCUUUGUGAUCACUGGGCUAGACGACCUUCCCUCUCCAGAAACCCACUGCACCUGGUCUUAGUGGUGGCACUUGGAAUCUUUCAGUUUCGUUGCAGCAUGCGGGUUCUUUCGUUGCAGCAUGCGGGAUCUCGCUCCCUGACAGAGGAUGGAACCCGGGCCCCCUGCAUUGGGAGCAGUGUCUCAGCAGAGUCUUAGCCACUGGACUACCAGGGA
Molecule: long non-coding RNA, 833 nt
Organism: Bos taurus (domestic cattle)
Lineage: Eukaryota; Metazoa; Chordata; Mammalia; Artiodactyla; Bovidae
Source: Ensembl